Molecule: ribosomal RNA, 240 nt
Filed under: uncultured Lactobacillus sp.
Lineage: Bacteria; Bacillati; Bacillota; Bacilli; Lactobacillales; Lactobacillaceae
Description: partial 16S ribosomal RNA
Rfam family: Bacterial small subunit ribosomal RNA
Source: RNAcentral
UAACCUGCCCAAGAGAUCGGGAUAACACCUGGAAACAGAUGCUAAUACCGGAUAACAACAGAUGAUGCCUAUCAACUGUUUAAAAGAUGGUUCUGCUAUCACUCUUGGAUGGACCUGCGGUGCAUUAGCUAGUUGGUAGGGUAACGGCCUACCAAGGCGAUGAUGCAUAGCCGAGUUGAGAGACUGAUCGGCCACAUUGGAACUGAGACACGGCCCAAACUCCUACGGGAGGCAGCAGGG